CUUGGCGGCACUAGCGCGGUGGUCCCACCUGACCCCAUGCCGAACUCAGAAGUGAAACGCCGUAGCGCC
RNAcentral lists this ribosomal RNA (69 nucleotides) under Salmonella enterica subsp. enterica serovar Montevideo. The record is from RNAcentral. Lineage: Bacteria; Pseudomonadati; Pseudomonadota; Gammaproteobacteria; Enterobacterales; Enterobacteriaceae.